ACGAACGCUGGCGGCGCGCCUAACACAUGCAAGUCGAACGGGAUCUUUUAGGAAGCUUGCUUCUUGGCUGAUCUAGUGGCGGACGGGUGAGUAACACGUGAGCAACCUGCCGAAGAGUGGGGGAUAACGUCUGGAAACGGACGCUAAUACCGCAUAACAUCACGGGAUGGCAUCAUCCUGUGAUCAAAGGAGCAAUCCGCUUUUUGAUGGGCUCGCGCCCGAUUAGAUAGUUGGUGAGGUAACGGCUCACCAAGUCGACGAUCGGUAGCCGGACUGAGAGGUUGAACGGCCACAUUGGGACUGAGACACGGCCCAGACUCCUACGGGAGGCAGCAGUGGGGAAUAUUGCACAAUGGGGGAAACCCUGAUGCAGCGACGCCGCGUGAGUGAAGACGGCCUUCGGGUUGUAAAGCUCUGUUAUGGGGGACGAUAAUGACGGUACCCCAUUAGAAAGCCACGGCUAACUACGUGCCAGCAGCCGCCGUAAAAC
This 490-nucleotide ribosomal RNA is filed under the name uncultured bacterium. RNAcentral's name for it is "bacterial SSU rRNA". It matches the Rfam family "Bacterial small subunit ribosomal RNA", at positions 29 to 526 of the family's 1533-position model. The record is from RNAcentral.